RNAcentral lists this ribosomal RNA (250 nucleotides) under uncultured bacterium. Its description in RNAcentral is "partial 16S ribosomal RNA". It matches the Rfam family "Bacterial small subunit ribosomal RNA", at positions 525 to 775 of the family's 1533-position model. The record is from RNAcentral.
ACGUAGGUGGCGAGCGUUAUCCGGAAUCAUUGGGCGUAAAGAGGGAGCAGGCGGCCGCAAGGGUCUGUGGUGAAAGACCGAAGCUAAACUUCGGUAAGCCAUGGAAACCGGGUGGCUAGAGUGCGGAAGAGGAUCGUGGAAUUCCAUGUGUAGCGGUGAAAUGCGUAGAUAUAUGGAGGAACACCAGUGGCGAAGGCGACGGUCUGGGCCGCAACUGACGCUCAUUCCCGAAAGCGUGGGGAGCAAAUAG